Molecule: non-coding RNA, 226 nt
Organism: Lentisphaerae bacterium GWF2_44_16
Lineage: Bacteria; Pseudomonadati; Lentisphaerota
Source: Rfam
AAAGUCCCCAUCCGGUAAGGGCUACCCAUCCGGCGGAACUCCGAGUGUUGCCUUGACUGUCUGCGAGGAGGUAGAGAAGCGUACACAGGAGAACACACAGGCGCCCAGUAUUGAGCCUCGAAAUUUGGGAUAAGUCCGGAGCACCGACCCUUUCAUAAAAUGGGGAAGGCAACACAGCCCACAGCGAAAAUGGCGAGUUGUGGUGUUGGCGCGGGAGCGAAGACCA